UACGAAGGGGGCUAGCGUUGUUCGGAAUUACUGGGCGUAAAGGGCGCGUAGGCGGCCAUUCAAGUUAGAUGUGAAAGCCCUGGGCUCAACCUAGGAAUUGCAUUUGAUACUGUUUGGCUUGAGUUCGGGAGAGGUGAGUGGAAUUCCCAGUGUAGAGGUGAAAUUCGUAGAUAUUGGGAAGAACACCAGUGGCGAAGGCGGCUCACUGGCCCGUAACUGACGCUGAGGUGCGAAGGCGUGGGGAGCAAACAGG
Molecule: ribosomal RNA, 253 nt
Filed under: uncultured bacterium
Lineage: Bacteria
Description: partial 16S ribosomal RNA
Rfam family: Bacterial small subunit ribosomal RNA
Source: RNAcentral